CAGAUGGGUCCCGGGGGCACAGAGGCGCAGCUGUCGGUGCCUAUCUUGAAUCGGGUGCGGGUGCUGGAGGAGCACGUGCCCGGACUGGAGGCGAAGCUGAAAAAGCACCUGGGCAGGGAACGCCCCCGGCCGGUCAGCGGCGGCGGCACCCUUGUGGCGCGCGUUGAGGUCCUGGAAGAAGCAGUCGACACUCUCCUGCAGGCGCAGGUGCUUUCCCACAUGCUGCUCAAUGUCUGCUAUUCUGCGGACUCACAUGACCCCCAGAUGGGCCACACAUAGACAUGCAAUGGAGGCAUGAUUACUCCAUAGAACGUUUGGGCAAUUUGAGCUCUGAAAUACAAGCAAUGGGCGGGAGUGCGACCUGCAACCAGUAAAGAUAUCAACCCCUUUAGAUUUGUUGGUCGUGGCAUGCUUCCCGCUGACACUGGCGGGGUGCUUAGAAGAGUAGUUUUGGACUGUAGUGCAAGCGCUGUAGAGGCGCCCAGUGGUAAGCGUUUAACAGGCAUGUUGAGUAAGGCUGGCUAUCUGUCAUUGAAGGGCUGCCUUGACACAGGGCCACAGCAGUCCUCAAGGAUGCCAUGCGCAAUAAUGCCCGUGAUACUGGCAGGUCCAAAAAUAUUUUCUUUCAAGUCAAUGACCACUAAAAACCGUGUUUUGCUGCAAUGCAGGAGGCACAGCUGAAAGAGCAGGCACAGAAGGUGAAGAGCAGAUGCAUGCCCUGCUGUUGCGUGAUGUGAUGAACGGCAGGAGGCCAUGGACUGACCAUUCCAUGAGGGACUUAUGAGCGCCAUUGCAUGAGAAAGGCAUGGCUUGUGCCAGCAGACUCAUGCAAGUUGAUCAGGCCAGUCUACAGCUUCUGCAGCCAAGAAAUAUUUAUUCAUCAAUCCGCUCAGUGAAGGGCAGUAGAAUAGCAAAUGUAUUCCAGUCACUACUUAGAUCUCUGUGAAACCCGCAGCAUGCGUCGCGCACAGUGGCGGCUGUACUGUGUAUUCUUGUUUGUAGAAUAAUGAGCAGUGCAUGCAGUGUUUUGGAAUUAUGCAGGGAUAAAUUUCUCUAACGCAGGAUUUGGUCUAAUGCUAGAUGUGACAGGCAUGUUGGUGUUCUUCAUGUGAGCUUGUUCUCUGCCUGGUUGCUUCCGCUGAUUUGCUUGCCUUACACAAGACGGCCUCUCAUGUGCAGAGGAAUAGGGCAGUUCAUUGUAUGGUGGCUCACAAGCACACUGAUGUUGUCUAUAUCUUUCUCUGGCCUGCAUGCAUCCUAUAUGUUGUGAAGAGAAAGCUGGAUGCCAAUCGCCUGACCUGCGGAAUGCCGAGGCUACUGCAGAUGCUGUAGUCUCUCACUUCAAUGCCAACAUGAUAGAGUAAAGUAAAAUUUUCAGCC
This 1380-nucleotide long non-coding RNA is filed under the name Coccomyxa subellipsoidea. RNAcentral describes it as "long non-coding RNA (CSUB_LNC000553)". Lineage: Eukaryota; Viridiplantae; Chlorophyta; Trebouxiophyceae; Coccomyxaceae. The record is from RNAcentral.